AUUGAAUCACAGAAUUUAAUUCCAAAACCAAAAGGGUUCAACUAAUAUACUUUGUCCUCAAAACCCAGGAGGCCAAAAGAGCUUAUCGGCCAUAGAUUUUAAUUUUGAAAAAAAAAUAAUAAUAAUAAAUAAUUCAAACUAAACACACUAACUUAAACUCCUAAAAAACCACAUGACUUCCAAAAUUCCCAACUUGAAAUUUUAACUAAGUACAGUGCUACAAUUUGUGUUCCAAAAUAAGUAAAAAAGGUACAAAAACUUUAGAACAUGAACAACAUAACAAUUUCCAUAGAAGAUCUAAGCAAAAAUUAUGGAAGAAAUUCAAAUUUAUAUAUAUAUAUAUAUAAAGAUUGAAGACUUUGGAGAAAAGAUGUCAGGAAUUCUUUGAAAAAAGGAAAGAUUCCCCGACAAAGGAAAUUUUUUUUUUCAAAAGUAGGAAAGAUUUUUUAGACUUUUAGAAAAAGUUGUUGUAGACUUUUUGAAAUUUUUUGUAAUGGGGGGGUAUGCUGUUUUAAUAUGGCUGUUGUAAUAUGGCUAUUGUAUAUGGAUGUUUU
RNAcentral lists this long non-coding RNA (554 nucleotides) under Olea europaea (common olive). Its description in RNAcentral is "long non-coding RNA (OEUR_LNC009643)". The record is from RNAcentral. Lineage: Eukaryota; Viridiplantae; Streptophyta; Magnoliopsida; Lamiales; Oleaceae.